AGUGGGAUAGUUGGGUCAAAUGAUGGUUCCAUUUUGAGUUUUCUGAGGAAUCUCUAUACUGCUUUCCAGAGUGGUUGCACCAUUUUGCAGUCCCACCAGCAAU
RNAcentral lists this microRNA precursor (103 nucleotides) under Marmota monax (woodchuck). The record is from RNAcentral. Lineage: Eukaryota; Metazoa; Chordata; Mammalia; Rodentia; Sciuridae.